Molecule: ribosomal RNA, 253 nt
Filed under: uncultured bacterium
Lineage: Bacteria
Description: partial 16S ribosomal RNA
Rfam family: Bacterial small subunit ribosomal RNA
Source: RNAcentral
UACGGAGGGUGCAAGCGUUAAUCGGAAUUACUGGGCGUAAAGCGUGCGUAGGCGGCUUGUUAAGUCAGAUGUGAAAGCCCUGGGCUCAACCUGGGAACUGCAUUUGAAACUGGCAAGCUAGAGUUUAAGAGAGGUAAGUGGAAUUUCAGGUGUAGCGGUGAAAUGCGUAGAGAUCUGAAGGAACACCAGUGGCGAAGGCGACUUACUGGCUUAAAACUGACGCUGAGGUACGAAAGCGUGGGUAGCAAACAGG